UGGCAGUCAGAGGCGAUGAAGGACGUGCUAAUCUGCGAUAAGCGCCGGUAAGGUGAUAUGAACCGUUAUAACCGGCGAUUUCCGAAUGGGGAAACCCAGUGUGACUCGUCACACUAUCAUUAACUGAAUCCAUAGGUUAAUGAGGCGAACCGGGGGAACUGAAACAUCUAAGUACCCCGAGGAAAAGAAAUCAACCGAGAUUCCCCCAGUAGCGGCGAGCGAACGGGGAGGAGCCCAGAGCCUGAAUCAGCAUGUGUGUUAGUGGAAGCGUCUGGAAAGGCGCGCGAUACAGGGUGACAGCCCCGUACACAAAACGCAUGUGCUGUGAGCUCGAUGAGUAGGGCGGGACACGUGGUAUCCUGUCUGAAUAUGGGGGGACCAUCCUCCAAGGCUAAAUACUCCUGACUGACCGAUAGUGAACCAGUACCGUGAGGGAAAGGCGAAAAGAACCCCGGCGAGGGGAGUGAAAAAGAACCUGAAACCGUGUACGUACAAGCAGUGGGAGCCCCACCACCAAAGCAUUCUCUGGUGUUGAAGGCCCUGCAAAGCAGCAUCGCGGUGGCGGAGCGUCGUUUGCGACGCCCAACACACAAAACAAGCGGUGAGUGCUUUGGGGUGGGGUGACUGCGUACCUUUUGUAUAAUGGGUCAGCGACUUAUAUUCUGUAGCAAGGUUAACCGCAUAGGGGAGCCGUAGGGAAACCGAGUCUUAAC
This 713-nucleotide ribosomal RNA is filed under the name Salmonella enterica. Its description in RNAcentral is "partial 23S ribosomal RNA". It matches the Rfam family "Bacterial large subunit ribosomal RNA", at positions 34 to 688 of the family's 2925-position model. RNAcentral also lists the same sequence under 2 other names. The record is from RNAcentral. Lineage: Bacteria; Pseudomonadati; Pseudomonadota; Gammaproteobacteria; Enterobacterales; Enterobacteriaceae.